UUCAAGCGCGGAAGCACCUGAAGAUCGAAAAAGUGUCCUGACAUCAGUUCCAAAGGUCAAAGCCUCUUGUUGUUCGAUGCUCGGAACAGCAUGAGGUAUCAAGUCCAACAUUUCUGGCGUAUUUUCGCUAUAAGCAAUGACAGUAAAGUUCUGCUCAUCAAUAGCAAUCAUACAGCCAAAUGGCUGAAUUAGACUUCCCCUUUGUAUUUUCUGAAGAUAAGCAGAUACAGUCAUUUUCGCUAUACGCAAUGACAGUAAAGUUUUGCUCACUAAUAACAAUCAUACAACCAAAUGGCUGAAUUAGACUUCCCCUUUGCAUUUUCUGAAGAUAAGCAGAUACAGUUGAAGAUGGAACAUUGCUAGUGAAAUUUGACAAGUUAACUAAAUUAGAGUAAUCAAAUUGUUGUUCAGACUCUUCAAACUCCACGUGGAGUUUUGCAUCAAUUGGGGUUUGAGCAACAACACGAGCACCAUGCCUAGACCUAGCUGAACUGCUCCUAGAGCAAUUAGUCUUGCUUGUUGUAGAUUUAGAAGACAUUUCUAACCCUUUCUUUGUUUCAGUAACAAGAAAACAUCAAUAUUGAAAGAUGGAAUUCCUCAAUUCUCCUAUGUAAGUAUUUAGUACCCUAAUCAAAUAAUAUAUGCAGAAAGGACAAGAAGAAUCAAGAAUCUUGAAAUGAAACAACCAAAAUUGAAAUAAGAGGAAGGAAUUUACAUAAUCUUUAUAUCAAAUAGAAUCUACCAUAGUUAAGAAAAAACCAUAAAAGAACAAAAGAAGAAAAGGUGAUACCAACUUGUGGACUACUACUACCUCAUACCAAUCCAAGAUUCCAUCUUAUUAAAAGAAUUUCUAGAACCCUAUGUGGAGAAGGACCAAAGCUAAGAAGGAGUUCAAUUUUCCAACUUAUGGUUCUGAUUCUCAACCACUCAGAACCAGCCAACUGAAGCAAAAUGGUUAGCUAAAAAUAGAGUCUUUAUACAUAGAUGUUGCUUUUCGUGCCUUAAUAAAAAAAGCUUUAAACAC
This 1024-nucleotide long non-coding RNA is filed under the name Nicotiana benthamiana. RNAcentral's name for it is "long non-coding RNA (NBEN_LNC033725)". The record is from RNAcentral. Lineage: Eukaryota; Viridiplantae; Streptophyta; Magnoliopsida; Solanales; Solanaceae.